GACGAACGCUGGCGGCGUGCUUAACACAUGCAAGUCGAACGGAAAGGCCCUGCUUUUGUGGGGUGCUCGAGUGGCGAACGGGUGAGUAACACGUGAGUAACCUGCCCUUGACUUUGGGAUAACUUCAGGAAACUGGGACUAAUACCGGAUAGGAGCUCCUGCUGCAUGGUGGGGGUUGGAAAGUUUCGGCGGUUGGGGAUGGACUCGCGGCUUAUCAGCUUGUUGGUGGGGUAGUGGCUUACCAAGGCUUUGACGGGUAGCCGGCCUGAGAGGGUGACCGGCCACAUUGGGACUGAGAUACGGCCCAGACGCCUACGGGAGGCAGCAGUGGGGAAUAUUGCACAAUGGGCGGAAGCCUGAUGCAGCAACGCCGCGUGCGGGAUGACGGCCUUCGGGGUGUAAACCGCUUUCGCCUGUGACGAAGCGUGAGUGACGGUAAUGGGUAAAGAAGCACCGGCUAACUACG
This 466-nucleotide ribosomal RNA is filed under the name uncultured bacterium. RNAcentral describes it as "partial 16S ribosomal RNA". It matches the Rfam family "Bacterial small subunit ribosomal RNA", at positions 28 to 505 of the family's 1533-position model. The record is from RNAcentral.